AUACGUAGGUGACAAGCGUUAUCCGGAUUUACUGGGCGUAAAGGGCGUGUAGGCGGUCUUGCAAGUCAGAAGUGAAAUUCCUGAGCUCAACUCGGGCGCUGCUUCUGAAACUGCAGGACUUGAGUGCUGGAGGGGAUAGCGGAAUUCCUAGUGGAGCGGUAAAAUGCGCAGAUAUUAGGAAGAACACCGGUGGCGAAGGCGGCUAUCUGGAGAGUAACUGACGCUGAGGGGCGAAAGCGUGGGGAGCAAACAGGAUUAGAUACCCUGGUAGUCCACGCCGUAAACGAUGAAGACUAGGUGUAGGGGGUAUCGACUCCCUCUGUGCCGCAGUUAACACAAUAAGUAUUCCGCCUGGGGAGUACGGCCGCAAGGUUGAAACUCAAAUGAAUUGACGGGG
Molecule: ribosomal RNA, 397 nt
Filed under: uncultured bacterium
Lineage: Bacteria
Description: partial 16S ribosomal RNA
Rfam family: Bacterial small subunit ribosomal RNA
Source: RNAcentral